Dioscorea cayenensis subsp. rotundata (Guinea yam) is the source of this 107-nucleotide small nucleolar RNA. The record is from RefSeq and is a predicted model, not a curated record. NCBI's taxonomy places the organism in Eukaryota, Viridiplantae, Streptophyta, Magnoliopsida, Dioscoreales, Dioscoreaceae.
AACCCAUGUUGAGGACAUUUCUGCAGGAGCUCCUCGAACCUAUCACAUGUCUCAAAAAGAGACUCUAAUUCUUUUUUCACAAAGGAGGAAAUUUCAUUCACGAGCUU